RNAcentral lists this ribosomal RNA (366 nucleotides) under Triticum aestivum (bread wheat). RNAcentral's name for it is "partial small subunit ribosomal RNA". Lineage: Eukaryota; Viridiplantae; Streptophyta; Magnoliopsida; Poales; Poaceae. The record is from RNAcentral.
AUGGAGACGGAGCGCUCGGGGAGGCCCCGCUGCGGGCGCCACGCGCUGCUCUGCAUCAUUCCCAGCUGCUGCAGCGCGCGCUGCUGCCGGAGCUGGUGGUCGAUGUACCGGAGCCGGGACCCGACGCCGCGACCGCCGCCGAGCCCGCCGCCGAGCCCCUCGGCGUCGCAGUCCUCGCCCAGGGCGCGGCUGGCGGCGCGCACCUGGGAGGCGAUGGCGUCGCGGAGGCAGCGGAACUGCCGCGAGAUGGUGCGCAGCGCCAGCGCCGUGUACGUCCGCGCCGACCCGGCGCCGGCCACUGCCUCGAACGACGACGACACCGACGCCAUCUGCUGGUGGUACUGCCGGUACCGCUGCUCCACCUGA